GUGUUGCCCAGGCUGGUCUCAAACUCCCAGCCAGAAGCAGUCCUCUUGCCUUGGCCUCCCAAAGCAUUGGGAUUACAGGUGUGAGUCGCCACACCCAUUCCACCUGAACUCCUAGAUCUUAACUAUUACAUCAUUCUGCCCUUAACCACUAGGCUACACCAUCAUCCUCUACCAAUGCUGAGUUCAGUUUUGGAAGUGUUGGUGUUUAGAUACCCAUAGGCCGUCUACUUCAUUCCAUUUCUUUUUUUUAGCGUCUCACUCUGUCGCCCAGGCUGGAGUCCAGUGGCACGAUCUCGGCUCACUGCAACCUCUGCUGCUUCCUGGGUUCAAGGGAUUCUCCUGCCUCUGCCUCCAGAGUAGUUGGGAUUACAGGAGACUGCCACCAUGCCUGGCUAAUUUUUGUAUUUUUAGUAGAGACAGGGUUUCACCAUGUUGGCUAGACUGGUCUUGAACUCCUGACCUCGUGAUCCGCCCAUCGUGGCCUCUCGAAGUGCUAGGAUUACAGGCAUAAGCCACUGUGCCUGGCCAACUUCAUUCCAUUUCUGCCCUGGGCUUUUUUUUUUUUUUGAGACAGAGUCUUGCUCUGUCACCAGGCUGGAGUGCAGUGGCUCGAUGUCAGCUCACUGCAACCUCCACCUCCCGGGUUCCAGCGAUUCUUCUGCCUCAGCCUCCCGAGUAGCUGGGACUACAGGCGCACGCCACCACAUCCAGCUAAUUUUUGUAUUUUUUUAGUAAAGACAGGGUUUUGCCAUGUUGGCCAGGAUGGUCUUGAUCUCUUGACCUCGUGAUCCGCCUGCCUCGGCCUCCCAAAUUGCUGGGAUGACAGGCGUGAGCCGCCGCGCCCGGCCUGCCCUGAGCCGCCGCGCCCGGCCUGCCCUGAGCUUUUGCAACAGGCUCCAGUGGUCUCCGUGUCUCUUUCCUUAUUCCCCUCAAAUCAUUCUCCAUAUUGCAGCCAGAAAUUAUAUUUUAAAACACAAUUCUAAAAUGUCACUGUCUCCCAAAACCCUUCAGUAGUCUCCCACUGCUCCUAGAGACUGAAAUGUUUACCUGCUUACAAGGCAGGGGUUGGCCCCUGAGCACCUUUGCAGCUCCCUCUCUAGAUGGAUGAAAGUCAGGCUCCCUAACUUCCACCUUCCUCUCCAUGUUCCAGCAUGUUCUCACCCAGAGCCUCUGGGCCUUUUGUCCUCCUCACUGGAAUGCUCCUAGAGGUUUCUCUCCCCUCACAGCCACCUAGUUUACUCAGGUUUUAGAGCCCAGCAAGUCCAGUCUACUCAGUUUUCUUUUUGAAGUUCCUAUAACUUCAGUUCCUUUAUUUAAGUUUGAGGUUGUACAUGUCUUAGUAUGCUUAUUUGAUUACAGUUAGUCUCCCCGCUAGACUGUGAGUGCCCUAAAGGCAGGAACCUUGCCCAUCCCCUUUACCACUAGCACCGAUCAAAAUGCCUGGCACAGGGAGGCGCAAUGAACAGCUGUUGAACGAGUGACUUCCAAAUCGACAGCAAAGGGGGCGGCUGGAUAGCGAGUCGCCCGCUCAGGAGAGAUUCUGGGUCGGAAAUAAAGAUCUGGGAGUCAUUUAUAAUUCCAACCAGACGAGUAGAUGGGCUGGCCCAAGCGGUGUGUAGACUGAAGAGAUUCUAACUCAUGCAAGAUAAGCAGCUACGUGGCUCACGGUCACGUCGCAAAAAACCUGGGGGCUCUCCUCCGCCUGCUUGUGGUCCCGUACAAGGCGCUUCCCACCCUGGGUCUCUGAGCCCAGUCGGUGAAAGACGGAAGGAGACCGAUUCACAGCCCCAACAGCGCCGGUGAUAGUCCCUCUGCCACCCCUUUCCCUCCGCUGCCCUCCCCUCCCCUCCCCUCCCCUCGAUGACUUCCUCCAACAGCUGACGAAGCUGGAUCCCUGGGCACCGCCUCUUCC
Molecule: long non-coding RNA, 1912 nt
Filed under: Homo sapiens (human)
Lineage: Eukaryota; Metazoa; Chordata; Mammalia; Primates; Hominidae
Description: HSALNT0155711
Source: RNAcentral